Molecule: RNase P RNA, 303 nt
Filed under: Cytophagales bacterium CG18_big_fil_WC_8_21_14_2_50_42_9
Lineage: Bacteria; Pseudomonadati; Bacteroidota; Cytophagia; Cytophagales
Description: partial RNase P RNA component class A
Rfam family: Bacterial RNase P class A
About the family: Ribonuclease P (RNase P) is a ubiquitous endoribonuclease, found in archaea, bacteria and eukarya as well as chloroplasts and mitochondria.
Source: RNAcentral
AUAGCAAACCGUCUUAUCGCUGCGCCCGCGGGCGGAGAGGAAAGUCCGGGCAACACAGAGCAUCCUACUUCCUAACGGGAAGGGUCUUUUCCGGCGACAGAAAAGAUACAGCCAGUGCCACAGAAAAUAACCGCCCUAUUUUAAUUAUGAAUUAGAAAUUCAAAAUUAGAAAUUACCCAAUUUUUAAUUUUUAAUUUAUAAUUUCUCAUUAUAAAGGGUAAGGGUGAAAAGGUGCGGUAAGAGCGCACCAGUACAGCCGGUAACGGGUGUAGCUGGGUAAACCUUAGGCGUUGAAAGACCAAA